Molecule: long non-coding RNA, 871 nt
Organism: Oncorhynchus tshawytscha (Chinook salmon)
Lineage: Eukaryota; Metazoa; Chordata; Actinopteri; Salmoniformes; Salmonidae
Source: Ensembl
CUCGUCAACCGUUGGUCUGAUUGGAGACAGGCUGGGUCCAGGCUCAGGACAGAGGCUCAGGACAGUGGGAUGGUCUUUAGCACCUCGUCAACCGUUGGUCUGAUUGGAGAGAGGCUGGGACAGAGGCUCAGGACAGUGGGAUGGGGUGGGGGUGACCAGGUAGCUGGAGGCUCAGGACAGUGGGAUGGUGUGGGGGUGACCAGGUAGCUGGAGGCUCAGGACAGUGGGAUGGUGUGGGGGUGACCAGGUAGCUGGAGGCUCAGGACAGUGGGAUGGUGUGGGGGUGACCAGGUAGCUGGAGGCUCAGGACAGUGGGAUGGUCUUGGGGUGACCAGGUAGCUGGAGGGUUGGAUGGUCUUGGGGUGACGAGGUAGCUGGAGGGUUGGGUGGUCUUGGGGUGAGGGUGACCAGGUAGGAGGAAGAACAAGCAAGCCUCCAUCAGUUUUGCAUAGAUUUGCACAACUCAUUUUUACUUGUAAUGCAACUAUGCAAAACUAGCAGAGAACUGCAAGAAAAAUACAGGGAGUGAUCUUGGUUGGUGGGAUGUUAGUUAGACCCUUAUGCCAGAAGGGGCACUUAGGGCAGUAGGUGCUAGUCUAUGUCACUAUCUGCACUAGAUGCACCUUAGCACAAAGACAUCAUGAAGUCAAGUCAAACCAUCAGGUCCUGGUCCAAGCAGGGUUCACCGGGGGUCAGCGGUAUUGCUAGAAGUGCCUCCAGAGCCUGGUCCAAGCAGGGUUAGGGUUCACCAGGGGUCAGCGGUAUUGCUAGAAGUGCCUCCAGAGCCUGAUCCAAGCAGGGUUAGGUUUCACCGGGGGUCAGCGUCAGCGGUAUUGCUAGAAGUGCCUCCACUGCAGUAGAUAUUCCAUAG